Molecule: ribosomal RNA, 361 nt
Filed under: uncultured bacterium
Lineage: Bacteria
Description: bacterial SSU rRNA
Rfam family: Bacterial small subunit ribosomal RNA
Source: RNAcentral
UUAUCCGGAUGUAUUGGGUGUAAAGGGAGCGUAGGCGGGUGCUUAAGUCAGUUGUGAAAGUGUGCGGCUCAACCGUAAAAUUGCAGUUGAUACUGGGCGCCUUGAGUGCAGCAUAGGUAGGCGGAAUUCGUGGUGUAGCGGUGAAAUGCUUAGAUAUCACGAAGAACUCCGAUUGCGAAGGCAGCUUACUGGACUGUAACUGACGCUGAUGCUCGAAAGUGUGGGUAUCAAACAGGAUUAGAUACCCUGGUAGUCCACACAGUAAACGAUGAAUACUCGCUGUUGGCGAUACACAGUCAGCGGCCAAGCGAAAGCAUUAAGUAUUCCACCUGGGGAGUACGCCGGCAACGGUGAAACUCAA